RNAcentral lists this transfer RNA (62 nucleotides) under Hylastes brunneus. Its description in RNAcentral is "tRNA-Ala". Lineage: Eukaryota; Metazoa; Arthropoda; Insecta; Coleoptera; Curculionidae. The record is from RNAcentral.
AGGAUAGUAGUUUAUAAAAACAUUUAAAUUGCAAUUAAAAAAUAUUUUCUUGAUCUAUCUUU